UACGUAGGUGGCAAGCGUUGUCCGGAAUUACUGGGUGUAAAGCGCGUGUAGGCGGCAGACCAAGUCGGCGGUGAAAGCGCCCGGCUCAACUGGGCGAGGUCCGUGGAAACUGGUCAGCUGGAGGACGGUAGAGGCGAGUGGAAUUCCCGGUGUAGUGGUGAAAUGCGUAGAGAUCGGGAGGAACACCUGUGGCGAAGGCGGCCGGCUGGGGGUGCCCUGACGCUGAGGCGCGAAAGCGUGGGGAGCGAACAGG
This 253-nucleotide ribosomal RNA is filed under the name uncultured bacterium. RNAcentral's name for it is "partial 16S ribosomal RNA". It matches the Rfam family "Bacterial small subunit ribosomal RNA", at positions 524 to 776 of the family's 1533-position model. The record is from RNAcentral.